GCUAACUUCGUGCCAGCAGCCGCGGUAAUACUCCUACGGGAGGCAGCAGUGGGGAAUAUUGGACAAUGGGCGAAAGCCUGAUCCAGCCAUGCCGCGUGAAUGAUGAAGGCCCUAGGGUUGUAAAGCUCUUUUGUGCGGGAAGAUAAUGACGGUACCGCAAGAAUAAGCCCCG
RNAcentral lists this ribosomal RNA (172 nucleotides) under uncultured Nitrobacter sp. Its description in RNAcentral is "partial 16S ribosomal RNA". It matches the Rfam family "Bacterial small subunit ribosomal RNA", at positions 298 to 495 of the family's 1533-position model. The record is from RNAcentral. Lineage: Bacteria; Pseudomonadati; Pseudomonadota; Alphaproteobacteria; Hyphomicrobiales; Nitrobacteraceae.